CCUCAAGCGAGGUAGGAGUCGCGUUGGCAAAUCCGCGUGACAAUCCGAAGACGUGAUGCAUACCGAACAAAAGUAGGGAAAUGUGUGAGCCAGCUGCCAAGAAAAGCCGCUAUUGUUUGUACUGUACCCGUACCGUAAACCGACACAGGUAGGUGAGGAGAGAAUCCUAAGGCCGACGGGAGAAGCAUUGUUAAGGAACUCGGCAAAAUGACUCCGUAACUUCGGGAGAAGGAGUGCCAGUGAGAGCUGGCCGCAGAGAAUUGGCCCAAGCAACUGUUUAGCAAAAACACAGGUCUAUGCAAAACCGUAAGGUGAAGUAUAUGGGCUGACGCCUGCCCGGUGCUGGAAGGUUAAGGGGAGAGGUUAGCGCAAGCGAAGCUUUGAACUUAAGCCCCAGUAAACGGCGGCCGUAACGAUAACGGUCCUAAGGUAGCGAAAUUCCUUGUCGGGUAAGUUCCGACCCGCACGAAAGGCGUAAUGAUUUGGGCACUGUCUCAACAAUGCACCCGGUGAAAUUGAAAUACCAGUGAAGAUGCUGGUACCUGCGCCAGGACGGAAAGACCCCAUGGAGCUUUACUCCAGCUUGAUACUGGGAUUCGAUAUUGUAUGUACAGGAUAGGUGGGAGGCGAAGAAGCAUUGACGCCAGUUGAUGCGGAGCCGCUGUUGGGAUACCACCCUUGCAGUAUUGGAUUUCUAACCAGCAGCCGUGACCCGGCUGGGGGACAAUGUCAGGUGGGGAGUUUGACUGGGGCGGUCGCCUCCGAAAGGGUAUCGGAGGCGCUCAAAGGUUCCCUCAGAAUGGUUGGAAACCAUUCGAAGAGUGCAAAGGCAGAAGGGAGCUUGACUGCGACACCGACGGGUGGAGCAGGUACGAAAGUAGGACUUAGUGAUCCGGUGGUAUAAAGUGGGAUUGCCAUCGCUCAACGGAUAAAAGCUACCCUGGGAUAACAGGCUUAUCACUCCCAAGAGUUCACAUCGACGGAGUGGUUUGGCACCUCGAUGUCGGCUCAUCGCAUCCUGGGGCUGAAGUAGGUCCCAAGGGUUGGGCUGUUCGCCCAUUAAAGCGGUACGCGAGCUGGGUUCAGAACGUCGUGAGACAGUUCGGUCCCUACCCGGCGUGGGCGUAGGAUAUUUGAGAGGAGCUGGCCUUAGUACGAGAGGACCGGGCUGGACUGACCGCUGGUGUAUCUGUUGUUCCGCCAGGAGCAUGGCAGAGUAGCCAAGUCAGGAAGGGAUAAACGCUGAAGGCAUCUAAGCGUGAAGCCCCCCUCAAGAUGAGAUAUCCCAACGAAAGUUGUAAGACCCCUUGAAGACGACAAGGUAGAUAGGGCAGAGGUGGAAGUGCAGUAAUGCAUGGAGCUGACUGUUACUAAUCGGUCGAGGGCAUAACC
RNAcentral lists this ribosomal RNA (1392 nucleotides) under metagenome. RNAcentral describes it as "bacterial LSU rRNA". It matches the Rfam family "Bacterial large subunit ribosomal RNA", at positions 1510 to 2925 of the family's 2925-position model. The record is from RNAcentral.